UGGGGAAUAUUGCACAAUGGGCGCAAGCCUGAUGCAGCCAUGCCGCGUGUGUGAAGAAGGCCUUCGGGUUGUAAAGCACUUUCAGCGGGGAGGAAGGCAUUAAGGUUAAUAACCUUAGUGAUUGACGUUACCCGCAGAAGAAGCACCGGCUAACUCCGUGCCAGCAGCCGCGGUAAUACGGAGGGUGCAAGCGUUAAUCGGAAUUACUGGGCGUAAAGCGCACGCAGGCGGUCUGUCAAGUCGGAUGUGAAAUCCCCGGGCUCAACCUGGGAACUGCAUUCGAAACUGGCAGGCUAGAGUCUUGUAGAGGGGGGUAGAAUUCCAGGUGUAGCGGUGAAAUGCGUAGAGAUCUGGAGGAAUACCGGUGGCGAAGGCGGCCCCCUGGACAAAGACUGACGCUCAGGUGCGAAAGCGUGGGGAGCAAACA
RNAcentral lists this ribosomal RNA (427 nucleotides) under uncultured prokaryote. RNAcentral's name for it is "bacterial SSU rRNA". It matches the Rfam family "Bacterial small subunit ribosomal RNA", at positions 355 to 774 of the family's 1533-position model. The record is from RNAcentral.